This 394-nucleotide ribosomal RNA is filed under the name uncultured bacterium. RNAcentral describes it as "partial 16S ribosomal RNA". It matches the Rfam family "Bacterial small subunit ribosomal RNA", at positions 523 to 918 of the family's 1533-position model. The record is from RNAcentral.
AUACGUAGGGGGCUAGCGUUAUCCGGAAUUACUGGGCGUAAAGGGUGCGUAGGUGGUUUCUUAAGUCAGAAGUGAAAGGCUACGGCUCAACCGUAGUAAGCUUUUGAAACUAAGAGACUUGAGUGCAGGAGAGGAGAGUAGAAUUCCUAGUGUGGCGGUGAAAAGCGUAGAUAUUAGGAGGAAUACCAGUUGCGAAGGCGGCUCUCUGGACUGUAACUGACACUGAGGCACGAAAGCGUGGGGAGCAAACAGGAUUAGAUACCCUGGUAGUCCACGCCGUAAACGAUGAGUACUAGCUGUCGGGGGUUACCCCCCUCGGUGGCGCAGCUAACGCAUUAAGUACUCCGCCUGGGGAGUACGACCGCAAGGUUGAAACUCAAAGGAAUUGGCGGGG